This 433-nucleotide ribosomal RNA is filed under the name uncultured bacterium. RNAcentral's name for it is "partial 16S ribosomal RNA". It matches the Rfam family "Bacterial small subunit ribosomal RNA", at positions 29 to 507 of the family's 1533-position model. The record is from RNAcentral.
AACGAACGCUGGCGGCAUGCCUAACACAUGCCAGUCGAACGAGACCUUCGGGUCUGGUGGCGCACGGGUGCGUAACGCGUGGGAACCUGCCCUUAGGUUCGGAAUAACUCCCCGAAAGGGGUGCUAAUACCGGAUAAUGUCUUCGGACCAAAGAUUUAUCGCCUUUGGAUGGGCCCGCGUUGGAUUAGCUAGUUGGUAGGGUAAAAGCCUACCAAGGCGACGAUCCAUAGCUGGUCUGAGAGGAUGAUCAGCCACACUGGGACUGAGACACGGCCCAGACUCCUACGGGAGGCAGCAGUGGGGAAUAUUGGACAAUGGGCGAAAGCCUGAUCCAGCAAUGCCGCGUGAGUGAUGAAGGCCUUAGGGUUGUAAAGCUCUUUUACCCGGGAUGAUAAUGACAGUACCGGGAGAAUAAGCUCCGGCUAACUCCGUG